This 247-nucleotide ribosomal RNA is filed under the name uncultured Gardnerella sp. Its description in RNAcentral is "partial 16S ribosomal RNA". It matches the Rfam family "Bacterial small subunit ribosomal RNA", at positions 109 to 355 of the family's 1533-position model. The record is from RNAcentral. Lineage: Bacteria; Bacillati; Actinomycetota; Actinomycetes; Bifidobacteriales; Bifidobacteriaceae.
AGUAAUGCGUGACCAACCUCGCCCCAUGCUCCAGAAUAGCUCUUGGAAACGGGUGGUAAUGCUGGAUGCUCCAACUUGACGCAUGUCUUGUUGGGAAAGUGUUUAGUGGCAUGGGAUGGGGUCGCGUCCUAUCAGCUUGUAGGCGGGGUAAUGGCCCACCUAGGCUUCGACGGGUAGCCGGCCUGAGAGGGCGGACGGCCACAUUGGGACUGAGAUACGGCCCAGACUCCUACGGGAGGCAGCAGUA